RNAcentral lists this ribosomal RNA (250 nucleotides) under uncultured bacterium. RNAcentral describes it as "partial 16S ribosomal RNA". It matches the Rfam family "Bacterial small subunit ribosomal RNA", at positions 524 to 773 of the family's 1533-position model. The record is from RNAcentral.
UACGGAGGGUGCAAGCGUUAUCCGGAUUCACUGGGUUUAAAGGGUGCGUAGGAGGGCAGGUAAGUCAGUGGUGAAAUCCCCGAGCUUAACUUGGGAACUGCCGUUGAUACUAUCUGUCUUGAAUAUUGUGGAGGUGAGCGGAAUAUGUCAUGUAGCGGUGAAAUGCUUAGAUAUGACAUAGAACACCAAUUGCGAAGGCAGCUCGCUACACAUAUAUUGACUCUGAGGCACGAAAGCGUGGGGAUCAAAC